CAGGCAGCUCGGGGAGAAGACGAUGCUGCAGAGCAUAGACAAGGCCGGACAUCUCGUGCACCUGGAGAGGCCCUGCGUUUACAACCAGCGCCUCAUGGAGUUCCUGGCAUACGCCACUGCUGAAGCUUGCAAGGAGCCUGCAAAUUAAUGAGUAGAUCGAUCGAUCAUUCUGGAGAGUGCUUAAUUAGUUUGUUCACAGAGAAUUGGGGUCCUAUUUGUUGCAGUUUGAUUGAUUGUUUGCCCGUGUACAAGAUAUUAUGAGUGUACGUACGUGAUGCAUAAUACCAUGGAGGGAGUCAGCACCGCACAAUUUGUCUACUUCUUUUUUGCAUCUCAACAUUUUCAUAUGUACAUCCACUUGAAAUGCUUCAACGUCGACAGUGGAUUGAGGAUUUGAGGUUACAAGAGCAUCUCUAACCCUUCCCUUUAAAAGUUUUAACUUCUCAAAAGAUUAUCCUUUUAGAAGUUAAUCCAUAUACCAACUAUUUCUCCAAAACAUUUAAUGGACUAAUGACACAUUUUCACUCUUGCUUUUAUUUUGUCCUCCUAAAUAUGUUAGUACUAAGAAAGCACCCCCUCCCCUCUCCCUCUCGUGUCGCCCCACGCGCGACCGAGAGGGAACCCUAGCCACCGCCGGGCCUCCCUCCCUACUCUCCUCCUCCCUCGCCGCCGCCCGAGGGCGCGGCCAAGCGAAGCCCGGUCGUCGCCGCCGGCGGUGGGGUUCUUUCGUCUCCCCGCGCGGUGGCUUCGGCGCGGGAUGCGGCAGCCGGUCGAGGGCGCGGCGCUUGGCUGCGGGCGUGGCGGUGCAUCGACGCCAAGGUGUGGCGGCGGUGUGGGCUAGCGGCGCGGUGGUGGCACGCACGUGCAGCCGGGGAUGGCGUGGCUGCGGCGCUCAGAUCUGGUCGGCACACGACGCAGGGCAUGGGCGCCCUUGGCUGUGAGCGGCCUCCCUCUGCCGCGGCGAUCUGCUGGUGGGGGGUGGUGGCGCUGCAGUCCUGGUGUUGUAGGCCAGCGGGUGGUGACGGCGCGGCGCGGCGGCUUCGUGGCGGCGCGUCCGGACCCGCCCCUGUAGCUGCGGGCUGCCAGCGACCCUCGGUGGAGGUGGGCGGCCCUUGUCUAGUCGGGCACAUGCGGCUGGACGGCGGCGCUCGACGCGGGAGCGCCUCCCUGGUGAGCUACCUCGGCUGCAGCGGUGGGUCGAUUUAGUUUCCCUCGUCGGCGAGCGCGCGAUUGCGAAUGGCCUCGAGGAGAGAUGUUCAAGCUACCAUGGUGGGGUGACAUGGGGGUGCUCGUGGGGGAGCUUAGUAGGAGGGAUGGCUAGCCUCGAUGCGGUCGCGCCACCUGUCACCGGCACAUUUUCCGGUCUGGAUGCGUCAGCUCCUCCUCCUCCUCCUCCUUUCCUCGUGUUUGGCAGGGAGCUCGGUUGGAGGGAUGGGUGGCCUCGAUGCGGUCACGUCACCUGUCGGCUGUCGCCGGCAUGGGGUGCGUCGGUCCGGCUUCGUCCGCUCCCCUUUCUCCCCCGUUCCUCGGCCGCGAGCGGGUUGGCGCAGUUCUACCAGCGGAGCGUCUACGGGUGGAUCUGUCGGUCGAGGGUCGUCGGUUGGUCCAACGCCGGGGCUUCUGUGUAGGUCUCGGGGUUGUCUGGUUGCAGGGCGGCGGCUCUGGCGAUGGGAGGCGCGGCGUUUGUGAGCGGAGCGUGUGUCUCAGGUGCGGGCGGGAACCAUGGCCUCGCGGGUGGUUGACGGAGUUAGGGUGCGAUGGUGGGGUGUGAGCGCUGGGGUAUACCACUUGCCCAGUCCUUUGACUGGCCAACGGUGGCGGCGGAGGUUCUGGUUCCCGGAGCGCCUUCACAGGGACUUCCUGGAGGUAAUGUUCACCAACCGGAAGGAAAGAGCCGAGCUGCUGGAAGGUCUGGUGGUCAGCAACAAAGAUGCCACCGUCCCCGUUUUGCCGCAGAAAAUACUGCUGAUCUGGGGACACAACGACAACAUCUUCAACAUAGAGCUCGCCAAGACAAUGAAAGAGUAAGUUCCUGAGAUUUCAGACUUGUGCAUAAGCACAAGCUAGCUAGCGUAUGAGCUGAGAUGUUAACAAAUGGUUUUUGAUGGGGUAUACACAGGCAGCUCGGGGAGAAGACCAUGCUACAGAGCAUAGACAAGGCCGGACAUCUCGUGCACCUGGAGAGGCCCUGCGUUUACAACCAGCACCUCAUGGAGUUCUUGGCAUACGCCACUGCUGAAGCUUCCAAGGAGUCUGCAAAUUAAUGAGUAGAUCGAUCGAUAAUUCUGGAGAUUGCUUAAUUAGUUUGUUCAAAGAGAAUUGGGGUCCCAUUUGUUGCAGUUUGAUUGAUUGUUUGCCCGUGUACAAGAUAUUAUGAGUGUACGUACGUGAUGCAUAAUACCAUGGAGGGAGUCAGCACCGCACAAUUUGUCUACUUCUUUUUUGCAUCUCAACAUUUUCAUAUGUACAUCCACUUGAAAUGCUUCAACAUCGACAGUGGAUUGAGGUUACAAGAGCUUCUCUAACCCUUUCCUUUAAAA
RNAcentral lists this long non-coding RNA (2540 nucleotides) under Triticum aestivum (bread wheat). RNAcentral describes it as "long non-coding RNA (TAES_LNC026390)". The record is from RNAcentral. Lineage: Eukaryota; Viridiplantae; Streptophyta; Magnoliopsida; Poales; Poaceae.